UAGAGUUCUGUUCACAUUGAAAUGAGAAGAGGCCAACAUGGAACCUCAGAGAAACCGUCAGUGACGCUGGAGGCCCACGUUCCAUGGAGCAGGCCAACGAAUGCAGAGGAAGGAAGGAAGCGGAGUUCACAGGGUAUCAUGAGAACUUCAAUGUGAAUCAGGAUUUGGCAACUACUGGAUAUGGGAAGAAUCCUGGGCCCCAACUGUGUUGGUUUGGAUACCUAAGGAAUUUCCAGUGAAAUAGAAAUGGAGAAACAAGACACUUCAGAUCAUGUCAUAUCUUGUACAUUAAAAUAAGCUGAGGAAUGUGAACAAGAAUGAUUAAGUACUGAUGUGUAAAUGAGCUAAAGGUGACUCUCGUCCCCAAAACUGGAUGAAGUCUGAAAAAGAACCCGCUCAUGUUUCCUAGUUCUGAUGUGGGGGCAGGGCGACUGAAGAGAAUGGUCAGCCAAACACAAAUGUUCUAUAAAUAUUUGGAGAACAAAGUCUACAUAUUUUUGACCUUCACGUAAAUGCUAUCACAUUGUUUGUUCUUUUGUAAACAUGAAAUCUGCCUCAGCAGAGUCCAUCUGUAGGAGGUAGGGUGUGUGGAUAUGUCUGAUGAAGUAAUGGGGAAGGCCAAAGAAAAGUCUCCCUGCCUGAAGGCCAAAAUGUCUCCUAUUAAGAACUUAAAGUGCACUAUCAAACAUCAGCCAAAAAAAAGGAAAUAAGAGUUUCCUGGACAAGUCUACUAAACUGGUAGCAAGAAACAAUGCAACCUACUACAGAACAACCCAUCCUACAAGAAGAAAAUCCAGGCAUCAACUUCGGGAUCCAGAACAAAACCUAAAUUACCAAAGAGAAGUGAUUCUAAAUGCACCCUGGGAGCUGUGAUGCAGAUUUGGAGUGCAAAUUUAAUUCCAACAGUACUGCAAAAUAAAAGAUUAUUCUUUCUGUGUAUUCUUAACACACUAGAGCCCAGACAACACUGCUUUAACAUGCCAUCAACAGACUGGAACCUAAAGGGGAGAGAGUCCUUCUUCCUCACUCUGCCAAGGUCAACCUUGGCCUCAGGAGGGCUUAAGAUGCACUGGCAGGAGGACAUGGUGAAGCCACUGGCACCACCAGAAACACAGACAUCUUCCCUGACACCUAGCAGGGUGGAGUAGCAGCGUGCCUGGCUGUCAACUCAGAUAUCAUUUCAAUAUAUGGGGACACUCUACUGAAAUUCUCAAAAUAUUUGAAAGAAAAGUUGGUAAGGGCUUGGACUUCCUGUGUCUGAGAAGCUAGUGAAAUUGGGGUACUGAUGCUAAUGUGCCUCCUAUUCAUCCUCAGGCUGGUGAGGUCUGAGGAAAUUUCAAGUUAUAACCACGUUAGCAGGUAAUCCCAGGUAGAAGUAGGGUACCGCGUGGGGAAUCCAGGGACAAUUCAGUUUGCCUGGAACUUAGGAUCUCUGGAAGUUACUGGAGGAUGUCUGGAAAACUAGGUUUCUCUCAAGUUCUUUGGGACCUGGAAAGCCAAGCUAAGGGGUGUAGACUGCUAAGGCUUACUGAGUCCUGCUGAAAAUGUUUUAACACACAGUGGCAUGCUCAACACUGUGUUUUAGGAAUAUCAAUUGGUCAGCAAGAUAAAAAGAGGUCAUAAAAUGGAGAAAGUGGAGAUCGGAAAAGCAGUCAUAAGAAGAGUCUGGAUAAAUUGAAGAAUAGUGGCCAUGGGACAGAUUCUAGAGCAACUGUGAGGUAGAAUUGAUGAGGCCUGGGCACUUCACCCGACACAUCAUUAAGUGAUGUUUGCAAAUCAUGCUAUACUAUGCAAGUCAACUAUGUAUGAAACUUGCUGAAGUUUAAUGCCUUUGGAUGUAAAGCCACAAGGAUACCUAGAAAAUAUGUCACUGUGGAAUUGUCAGUGUUGCUGUAACUACAGUACGACAGCUCUAACACAUACACAUAUUCUUCACAUAUAUCCUAUAUUUCCCCCUUUUUAUUUAUUUAAAAGAACAAACAUCUUAGAAGGAGAGAGAUGAGCAUGUCAUUUUCCAGACCUUCAGAUUGUUAGCCUGGUCGUGUGAAGAGAAAUCUGAAAAUUAUGCUGUGCUUUAUUCUAAAGAAUCUGAGAAGCCAGACUUCAAGUGUCCUGUCUCCAUCCAGAUUGCGCAUGUUGGGGCUUUGAGUGAGGUCUCAGGUGGGUCUCUGCUCACAUGCCUACCAGACAUAAUCUGCGGUCAGGACCACUGUCCCACAGCGCUGCAGGGAAUCGUUUCAUGUCUGACAUAACAAAGGACAAUUGGAUUCUCAUACCUGUCUUGGCAUUCCAUCUGUUGCAAUAUCAUGUCAUGUAACUCUUGGAAAACUCCAUGGUACACUCGUGAGAGAAUGAAAGUGGAAAAAAAGGCAAAUAACAUCUUAGUAUUAUUAAGAUAAUUUUUACCUCAUUGACCCCCUGAAAGGGCCUUAGGAAUGUACAGGGUUUUCUGAACCACACUUUGAGAAUCACUGGCGUAGAGAAAUAGACUGAUUUGGGAAUCAAGAUCCCUAGGUUUUGGUCAUAAUUCUGGCUUCUUCUAGCAAUGUGGUCUGCAAGAAAUUAUUUAACUUUUUUAAAACAUAGUUUCCACACCUACUAAGUGAAGCAUCCAAACAGAAGAACUUAGAAUAUUACUAAUGCUAAAAUUCUUUAAUUCUUCAAUUUAUAAUUUAAUGUUUACUAAAAGCAACAUUGGCUGUCUUUGAGCCACUUUGGAAGUUACCUAAUGAGAUGUCAGUAUGGUUCAUCCAAAUGUUAAUGGAAGUCAAGUGCCACGGUGUUGAGCUUUAUUUUUGAA
This is a long non-coding RNA of Canis lupus familiaris (dog), 2800 nucleotides long. RefSeq lists it as uncharacterized. Lineage: Eukaryota; Metazoa; Chordata; Mammalia; Carnivora; Canidae. The record is from RefSeq and is a predicted model, not a curated record. The transcript is spliced from 7 exons.